This 429-nucleotide ribosomal RNA is filed under the name uncultured eukaryote. RNAcentral describes it as "bacterial SSU rRNA". It matches the Rfam family "Eukaryotic small subunit ribosomal RNA", at positions 592 to 1018 of the family's 1831-position model. The record is from RNAcentral.
CAAUAGCGUAUAUUAAAGUUGUUGCGGUUAAAAGCUCGUAGUUGGAUUUCUGCUGAGGACGACCGGUCCGCCCUCCGGGUGAGCAUCUGGUUCGGCCUUGGCAUCUUCUUGGUGAACGUAUCUGCACUUGACUGUGUGGUGCGGUACCCAGGACUUUUACUUUGAGGAAAUUAGAGUGUUUCAAGCAGGCAUACGCCUUGAAUACAUUAGCAUGGAAUAAUAAUCUAGGACUUCGGUGCUAUUUUGUUUGGUUUCUUGGAACUGAAGUAAAUGAUUGAUAGGGAGUAGUUGGGGGUGGCUAGUAUUGAGCGGCCAGAGGUGAAAUUACUUGGAUUCGCUCAAGACUAACUUAUGCGAAAGCAUUCACCAAGGAUGUCUUCUUUAAUUCAAGAACGAAAGUUGGGGGAGUCGAAGAUGAUUAGAUACCAU